UGGUUCUGGCAUCGAUGAAGAACGCAGCGAAAUGCGAUAAGUAAUGUGAAUUGCAGAAUUCAGUGAAUCAUCGAAUCUUUGAACGCACAUUGCGCCCUUUGGCAUUCCGAAGGGCAUGCCUGUUCGAGCGUCAUUACACCAAUCAAGCCUGGCUUGGUAUUGGGCGACGGGGCGGUCACACGCCCCGCGCCCCAAUGACUCCCCGGCGGGACGUUACCGUAUCUCAGCGUUGUGGUCAAAAGCCGCUGGCGAGACGGGGCGGCCGUGCCGUUAAACCUUCUAUUCUAAGGUUGACCUCGGAUCAGGUAGGGAUACCCGCUGA
This 322-nucleotide unclassified non-coding RNA is filed under the name uncultured fungus. RNAcentral describes it as "partial contains 5.8S ribosomal RNA and internal transcribed spacer 2". The stretch from base 1 to 133 matches the Rfam family "5.8S ribosomal RNA", at positions 22 to 154 of the family's 154-position model. The record is from RNAcentral. Lineage: Eukaryota; Fungi.